Oncorhynchus masou masou (cherry salmon) is the source of this 724-nucleotide long non-coding RNA. RefSeq lists it as uncharacterized. The record is from RefSeq and is a predicted model, not a curated record. The transcript is spliced from 4 exons. NCBI's taxonomy places the organism in Eukaryota, Metazoa, Chordata, Actinopteri, Salmoniformes, Salmonidae.
CUCUGAUUCACAACCACACAGAAUGGCGAGAACCUUCCUACCAGCUCUACUGCUCUAUGGAUUGAGUUUGGUCUCUGCUUUGGUUUCUCAGUCUCAAACAAUGGAGGUUCGUAUUGGGGAUAACAUCACCUUGCAGUGCUCCAAUAUUACAAUGGCUGUGGGACACACAGCAUGGUUCAAGCAAGUCAACGGAUAAGAACCUGUGUGUAUCUCGUCUAUGUAUGGCUUUAAUUCAACACCUGAUCUUCACAAUGGUUUUCAAAGAAGCCAUUUUGGAAUGUUCAGCAACAACAACACUAACUUCCUCAAAAUCACAAAUGUUGAAAUAGGUGACUGUGGCCUUUAUUUCUGUGGAUUGUAUCCACAUAGCCACAUGUUCUUUGUCAAUGCAACAUAUCUAAAAAAUUAAAGGGCAUAAUUCUCAAAGACAACCACAAAAUGAUCAGAUUUCCAGUCAACCAGCCAAAAGAUGGCUUUGAGACCGAAAAGAUGGCUCUUUUCACACCUCUCUUCAUCUGUUCAUCUGGACGGUAAACACCAGACCAGUGCCAGUCAGUUCGAUGUGCAAAGCCAAUAGAAUUUUCCCAACCUUAAAAUGUGCAUAAAUGUGCAUUCUUAAACUAUCGGUCCUGAGUUAUGAGAAUAGAUCUAUAAUCACACACUAUUUAUUUUUAUUUAGGGUCAUUUAUUUAGGGUCAAUUUCUCAUUUGGAUCUUGAGUUGAA